Molecule: ribosomal RNA, 1658 nt
Filed under: Salmonella enterica subsp. enterica serovar Paratyphi A
Lineage: Bacteria; Pseudomonadati; Pseudomonadota; Gammaproteobacteria; Enterobacterales; Enterobacteriaceae
Description: 16S ribosomal RNA
Source: RNAcentral
UUUUCAUCAGACAAUCUGUGUGAGCACUGCAAAGUACGCUUCUUUAAGGUAAGGAGGUGAUCCAACCGCAGGUUCCCCUACGGUUACCUUGUUACGACUUCACCCCAGUCAUGAAUCACAAAGUGGUAAGCGCCCUCCCGAAGGUUAAGCUACCUACUUCUUUUGCAACCCACUCCCAUGGUGUGACGGGCGGUGUGUACAAGGCCCGGGAACGUAUUCACCGUGGCAUUCUGAUCCACGAUUACUAGCGAUUCCGACUUCAUGGAGUCGAGUUGCAGACUCCAAUCCGGACUACGACGCACUUUAUGAGGUCCGCUUGCUCUCGCGAGGUCGCUUCUCUUUGUAUGCGCCAUUGUAGCACGUGUGUAGCCCUGGUCGUAAGGGCCAUGAUGACUUGACGUCAUCCCCACCUUCCUCCAGUUUAUCACUGGCAGUCUCCUUUGAGUUCCCGGCCGGACCGCUGGCAACAAAGGAUAAGGGUUGCGCUCGUUGCGGGACUUAACCCAACAUUUCACAACACGAGCUGACGACAGCCAUGCAGCACCUGUCUCACGGUUCCCGAAGGCACAUUCUCAUCUCUGAAAACUUCCGUGGAUGUCAAGACCAGGUAAGGUUCUUCGCGUUGCAUCGAAUUAAACCACAUGCUCCACCGCUUGUGCGGGCCCCCGUCAAUUCAUUUGAGUUUUAACCUUGCGGCCGUACUCCCCAGGCGGUCUACUUAACGCGUUAGCUCCGGAAGCCACGCCUCAAGGGCACAACCUCCAAGUAGACAUCGUUUACGGCGUGGACUACCAGGGUAUCUAAUCCUGUUUGCUCCCCACGCUUUCGCACCUGAGCGUCAGUCUUUGUCCAGGGGGCCGCCUUCGCCACCGGUAUUCCUCCAGAUCUCUACGCAUUUCACCGCUACACCUGGAAUUCUACCCCCCUCUACAAGACUCAAGCCUGCCAGUUUCGAAUGCAGUUCCCAGGUUGAGCCCGGGGAUUUCACAUCCGACUUGACAGACCGCCUGCGUGCGCUUUACGCCCAGUAAUUCCGAUUAACGCUUGCACCCUCCGUAUUNNNNNNNNNNNNNNNNNNNNGCUUCUUCUGCGGGUAACGUCAAUUGCUGCGGUUAUUAACCACAACACCUUCCUCCCCGCUGAAAGUACUUUACAACCCGAAGGCCUUCUUCAUACACGCGGCAUGGCUGCAUCAGGCUUGCGCCCAUUGUGCAAUAUUCCCCACUGCUGCCUCCCGUAGGAGUCUGGACCGUGUCUCAGUUCCAGUGUGGCUGGUCAUCCUCUCAGACCAGCUAGGGAUCGUCGCCUUGGUGAGCCGUUACCUCACCAACAAGCUAAUCCCAUCUGGGCACAUCUGAUGGCAAGAGGCCCGAAGGUCCCCCUCUUUGGUCUUGCGACGUUAUGCGGUAUUAGCCACCGUUUCCAGUAGUUAUCCCCCUCCAUCAGGCAGUUUCCCAGACAUUACUCACCCGUCCGCCACUCGUCAGCAAAGCAGCAAGCUGCUUCCUGUUACCGUUCGACUUGCAUGUGUUAGGCCUGCCGCCAGCGUUCAAUCUGAGCCAUGAUCAAACUCUUCAAUUUAAAAGUUUGAUGCUCAAUGAAUUAAACUUCGUAAUGAAUUACGUGUUCACUCUUGAGACUUGGUAUUCAUUUUUCGU